CGGAAACAUGUCUAGCUUGCUAGAUGAUGUCGAGUGGCGGACGGGUGAGUAAUACUUAGGAAUAUGCCUUUGUGUGGGGGAUAACUAUUGGAAACGAUAGCUAAUACCGCAUAACGUCUUCGGACCAAAGGGGGCUUCGGCUCCCGCGCAAAGAGUAGCCUAAGCGAGAUUAGCUUGUUGGUGAGGUAAAGGCUCACCAAGGCGACGAUCUCUAGCUGUUCUGAGAGGAAGAUCAGCCACACUGGAACUGAGACACGGUCCAGACUCCUACGGGAGGCAGCAGUGGGGAAUAUUGCACAAUGGGGGAAACCCUGAUGCAGCCAUGCCGCGUGUGUGAAGAAGGCCUUCGGGUUGUAAAGCACUUUCAGUUGUGAGGAAAGGUUAACGGUUAAUACCCGUUAGCUGUGACGUUAGCAACAGAAGAAGGACCGGCUAACUCCGUGCCAGCAGCCGCGGUAAUACGGAGGGUCCGAGCGUUAAUCGGAAUUACUGGGCGUAAAGCGCACGCAGGCGGUUAUAUAAGCUAGAUGUGAAAGCCCCGGGCUCAACCUGGGAAUAGCAUUUAGAACUGUAUGACUAGAGUCUUGGAGAGGGGAGUGGAAUUCCAGGUGUAGCGAUGA
Molecule: ribosomal RNA, 620 nt
Filed under: uncultured bacterium
Lineage: Bacteria
Description: bacterial SSU rRNA
Rfam family: Bacterial small subunit ribosomal RNA
Source: RNAcentral